This 72-nucleotide transfer RNA is filed under the name Mesocricetus auratus (golden hamster). It matches the Rfam family "tRNA". From Rfam's summary of the family: Transfer RNA (tRNA) molecules are approximately 80 nucleotides in length. The record is from Rfam by way of RNAcentral. Lineage: Eukaryota; Metazoa; Chordata; Mammalia; Rodentia; Cricetidae.
GCUGGGCUGGCUCAGUCAGUAGAGCACGAGACUCUAAUCUCAGGGUCGUGAGUUCAAGACCCAUGUUGGGCA